RNAcentral lists this ribosomal RNA (254 nucleotides) under uncultured bacterium. Its description in RNAcentral is "partial 16S ribosomal RNA". It matches the Rfam family "Bacterial small subunit ribosomal RNA", at positions 524 to 776 of the family's 1533-position model. The record is from RNAcentral.
UACGGGGGGAGCAAGCGUUGUUCGGAUUUACUGGGCGUAAAGGGCGCGUAGGCGGCCAGCACAAGUCAGUUGUGAAAUCUCCGAGCUUAACUCGGAAAGGUCAACUGAUACUGUGCGGCUAGAGUGCGGAAGGGGCAACUGGAAUUCUUGGUGUAGCGGUGAAAUGCGUAGAUAUCUGGAGGAACACCGGUGGCGAAGGCGGCAUCCUGGACCGACACUGACGCUGAGGAGCGAAAGCCAGGGGAGCAAACGGG